GAGUUUGAUCAUGCUCAGAUUGAACGCUGGCGGCAUGCCUUACACAUGCAAGUCGAACGGCAGCAUGAUCUAGCUUGCUAGAUUGAUGGCGAGUGGCGAACGGGUGAGUAAUACAUCGGAACGUGCCCUGUAGUGGGGGAUAACUAGUCGAAAGAUUAGCUAAUACCGCAUACGACCUGAGGGUGAAAGUGGGGGACCGCAAGGCCUCAUGCUAUAGGAGCGGCCGAUGUCUGAUUAGCUAGUUGGUGGGGUAAAGGCCCACCAAGGCGACGAUCAGUAGCUGGUCUGAGAGGACGAUCAGCCACACUGGGACUGAGACACGGCCCAGACUCCUACGGGAGGCAGCAGUGGGGAAUUUUGGACAAUGGGCGAAAGCCUGAUCCAGCAAUGCCGCGUGUGUGAAGAAGGCCUCGGUUGUAAG
Molecule: ribosomal RNA, 421 nt
Filed under: uncultured microorganism
Description: bacterial SSU rRNA
Rfam family: Bacterial small subunit ribosomal RNA
Source: RNAcentral